GACGAACGCUGGCGGCGUGCUUAACACAUGCAAGUCGAACGGAAAGGCCCUGCUUUUGUUGGUUGCUCGAGUGCCGAACGGGUGUGUAACACGUGAGUAUCCUGCCCUUGACUUUCGGAGAUCUCCAGGAAACUGCGGCUCAUACAGGAUAGGAUCUCCUGCUCCAUGUGGGGGAAUGGUGAGUUACGGCGGUUGGGGAUGGACUCGCGGCUUAUGAGCUUGUUGGUGGGGUAGGGGAGUACAAAGGCUGUGACGGGUAGCCGGCCUGGGAGGGUGACCGGCCACAAUGGGACUGAGGUACGGCCCAGACUCGUACGGGAGGCAGCAGUGGGGAAUAUUGCACAAUGGGCGGAAGCCUGAGGCAGCAACGCCGCGUGCGGGAUGACGGCCUUCGGGUGGUAAACCGCUUUCGCCUGUGACGAAGCGUGAGUGACGGUAAUGGGUAAAGAAGCACCGGCUAACUACGUG
RNAcentral lists this ribosomal RNA (468 nucleotides) under uncultured bacterium. RNAcentral describes it as "partial 16S ribosomal RNA". It matches the Rfam family "Bacterial small subunit ribosomal RNA", at positions 28 to 507 of the family's 1533-position model. The record is from RNAcentral.